GGCGGCGAGCGGCGGACGGGUGAGUAAGGCAUCGGAAUCUGCCCUGAUGUGGGGGAGUAACGUAGGGAAACUUACGCUAAUACCGCAUACGACCUACGGGUGAAAGCAGGGGACCGCAAGGCCUUGCGUCGAUGGAGCGGCCGAUGUCGGAUUAGCUAGUUGGUGGGUAAAGGCUCACCAAGGCGACGAUCCGUAGCUGGUCUGAGAGGACGACCAGCCCACACUGGGACUGAGACACGGCCCAGACUCCUACGGGAGGCAGCAGUGGGGAAUCUUGGACAAUGGGCGCAAGCCUGAUCCAGCAAUGCCGCGUGUGGGAAGAAGGCCUUCGGGUUGUAAACCACUUUUGGCAGGAAAGAAAUCGUCCGUGCUAAUACCAUGGAUGGAUGACGGUACCUGCAGAAUAAGCACCGGCUAACUACGUG
Molecule: ribosomal RNA, 425 nt
Filed under: uncultured bacterium
Lineage: Bacteria
Description: bacterial SSU rRNA
Rfam family: Bacterial small subunit ribosomal RNA
Source: RNAcentral